Aplysia californica (California sea hare) is the source of this 414-nucleotide long non-coding RNA. RefSeq lists it as uncharacterized. The transcript is spliced from 3 exons. NCBI's taxonomy places the organism in Eukaryota, Metazoa, Mollusca, Gastropoda, Aplysiida, Aplysiidae. The record is from RefSeq and is a predicted model, not a curated record.
GCCAAAAGGUUACCGCAUAGAUGCUCAGGGUGCUUGCUCUAAUCUUCCCCUGGAUGUCUUUGGUACCUUCUCCCAGUGUCUUCCUAGUAACGCUUUCAAAGCAGCGACGGUAGAUAUUGGUCUCGGCGCCACUCCAAAAGCCCUCGACGUCUACGUGAUCCCAAUUGAUGACAACUCCUCGACAGAAGUACUGGUCAGCAAAGAAUCCAACAGCACCAUAGUCUAUUUGAGAAGAGACGUUUCUAAAGUUAAUGGGACGAGACUGACCCUCUUUGCUAACCCCACACUGAGCAUCCCAGAUCCAAGCAUCUUCAACGUCCCAUCAAGCUGCUAAUUCCAAAGAUGUUAUUUUCUUAAAUAUUUGUGUUCGGAACAUGUUGCAUGCAAAUAAAGCAAACAUAUAACAAAAAGGAA